CGUUAAUACAUAUAUUAAUAAAAAUGUCUUAAACAGUAAAAAAUACACAUUAAAUGAGCACACUCAUUUCAAACUCCAUAUUAAGUCCUUUAGGUGAUAGUGUAUGCAAAUUAAAGAUCCAGCCCAUUUCGCAUUUGUUCAAAUUUGAAUUAAUAUCACCCCCUCUCCAAUGUUUUGUAACAGUUUGGAUCCCACAAAACUUGAUCCCACUUGGAUCCUGAUUGUGGUGUUCCAAAAAGU
Molecule: non-coding RNA, 240 nt
Organism: Pelobates cultripes (western spadefoot toad)
Lineage: Eukaryota; Metazoa; Chordata; Amphibia; Anura; Pelobatidae
Source: the annotation of a GenBank genome assembly